Phyllostomus discolor (pale spear-nosed bat) is the source of this 151-nucleotide long non-coding RNA. RefSeq lists it as uncharacterized. NCBI's taxonomy places the organism in Eukaryota, Metazoa, Chordata, Mammalia, Chiroptera, Phyllostomidae. The transcript is spliced from 3 exons. The record is from RefSeq and is a predicted model, not a curated record.
CUGCACCUGUUCGCAGGGGGCCUCCAGCUGCUGUCCCGGGCGGGCUUGGCACAUCCACGCAUGCAAAGCAAGGAGGUUCCGAGGGCUUCACCAAACAGUUAAUUUUGGCAAAAAGAGAAAACAAACAAAGAGCUAAAACUCAUAGCGGGGU